This 82-nucleotide small RNA is filed under the name Mesoflavibacter zeaxanthinifaciens subsp. sabulilitoris. RNAcentral describes it as "Flavo-1 RNA". It matches the Rfam family "Flavo-1 RNA". The record is from RNAcentral. RNAcentral also lists the same sequence under 1 other name. Lineage: Bacteria; Pseudomonadati; Bacteroidota; Flavobacteriia; Flavobacteriales; Flavobacteriaceae.
UUGUGUUAGCGAUUGUAAUGACAUCCUUAAUUUUGCUGCCAUAUAUGGCAAAAUUAAGAUAUAAUGAAAAGCGCGACCACCU